GGCCUUAUCGUCUAGCCUGGUUAGGACGUCACCCUUUCACGGUGAAAACUCGGGUUCGAAUCCCGAUAAGGUCA
RNAcentral lists this transfer RNA (74 nucleotides) under Candidatus Campbelliibacteriota bacterium. RNAcentral describes it as "Candidatus Campbellbacteria bacterium tRNA-Glu". It matches the Rfam family "tRNA". Rfam says of the family: Transfer RNA (tRNA) molecules are approximately 80 nucleotides in length. Their secondary structure includes four short double-helical elements and three loops (D, anti-codon, and T loops). Further hydrogen bonds mediate the characteristic L-shaped molecular structure. tRNAs have two regions of fundamental functional importance: the anti-codon, which is responsible for specific mRNA codon recognition, and the 3' end, to which the tRNAs corresponding amino acid is attached (by aminoacyl-tRNA synthetases). tRNAs cope with the degeneracy of the genetic code in two manners: having more than one tRNA (with a specific anti-codon) for a particular amino acid; and 'wobble' base-pairing, i.e. permitting non-standard base-pairing at the 3rd anti-codon position. The record is from RNAcentral. Lineage: Bacteria; Candidatus Campbelliibacteriota.